UGGGGAAUAUUGGACAAUGGGCGCAAGCCUGAUCCAGCCAUGCCGCGUGAGUGACGAAGGUCUUCGGAUUGUAAAGCUCUUUUACCAGGGACGAUAAUGACGGUACCUGGAGAAUAAGCCCCGGCUAACUUCGUGCCAGCAGCCGCGGUAAUACGAAGGGGGCUAGCGUUGUUCGGAAUUACUGGGCGUAAAGCGCACGUAGGCGGAUUUGUAAGUCAGGGGUGAAAUCCCGGGGCUCAACCUCGGAACUGCCUUUGAUACUGCGAAUCUCGAGUCCGAUAGAGGUGAGUGGAAUUCCUAGUGUAGAGGUGAAAUUCGUAGAUAUUAGGAAGAACACCAGUGGCGAAGGCGGCUCACUGGAUCGGUACUGACGCUGAGGUGCGAAAGCGUGGGGAGCAAACAGGAUUAGAUACCCCCGUAGUCCCUGAGCGGGCUGGCAAGGCGCAU
This 447-nucleotide ribosomal RNA is filed under the name uncultured bacterium. RNAcentral's name for it is "bacterial SSU rRNA". It matches the Rfam family "Bacterial small subunit ribosomal RNA", at positions 355 to 825 of the family's 1533-position model. The record is from RNAcentral.